This 408-nucleotide long non-coding RNA is filed under the name Carassius auratus (goldfish). RNAcentral describes it as "lncRNA (ENSCARG00000016573.1)". Lineage: Eukaryota; Metazoa; Chordata; Actinopteri; Cypriniformes; Cyprinidae. The record is from RNAcentral.
AUGAGCAGCAGAGAAGUGGCACAUGGUGGUUGCGGGGUUGGCAGACCUCAGCUACUACAGCGUCAGCGUGACCCGGCACAAGAGAAUUCCCUUCAUCUCCUCCAUCUAAAACACUCACCACACACGCCGCUACCUGGUAGAGCCAUCUGUUUUGAUUGGUCAAAAGCUGCACUUUACAGUAAUGUAUCAGUUUAACUCCACAGAGUGUGAUAGCCAAGGGCAACAGUUAUUUUUGAACUUCAGUCAGUAGAACUUUCUGUGCUCAAAAUCAACUCAGCGGCACCUCUGAAAUGAACCACACGACGACAUUUAAAUUUCCAUGGAUCCUCUGCCAGAGUGAUGAGCCAGCAAACGAUACAGAGGACUACUUCCUGUCUCCACUAGCUUCCUGCAAAUACUCACUCAUAU